GAUGAACGCUGACAGAAUGCUUAACACAUGCAAGUCUACUUGAACUUCGGUUUGGGUGGCGGACGGGUGAGUAACGCGUAAAGAACUUACCUCACAGUUAGGGACAACAUUUGGAAACGAAUGCUAAUACCUGAUAUUAUGAUUUUAGGGCAUCCUAAGAUUAUGAAAGCUAUAUGCGCUGUGAGAGAGCUUUGCGUCCCAUUAGCUAGUUGGAGAGGUAACGGCUCACCAAGGCGAUGAUGGGUAGCCGGCCUGAGAGGGUGAACGGCCACAAGGGGACUGAGACACGGCCCUUACUCCUACGGGAGGCAGCAGUGGGGAAUAUUGGACAAUGGACCAAAAGUCUGAUCCAGCAAUUCUGUGUGCACGAUGACGUUUAUCGGAAUGUAAAGUGCUUUCAGUUGGGAAGAAAAAAAUGACGGUACCAACAGAAGAAGUGACGGCUAAAUACGUG
RNAcentral lists this ribosomal RNA (454 nucleotides) under uncultured bacterium. Its description in RNAcentral is "partial 16S ribosomal RNA". It matches the Rfam family "Bacterial small subunit ribosomal RNA", at positions 28 to 507 of the family's 1533-position model. The record is from RNAcentral.